Molecule: ribosomal RNA, 434 nt
Filed under: uncultured bacterium
Lineage: Bacteria
Description: partial 16S ribosomal RNA
Rfam family: Bacterial small subunit ribosomal RNA
Source: RNAcentral
AGCGAACGCUGGCGGCAGGCCUAACACAUGCAAGUCGAACGAACCUUUCGGGGUUAGUGGCGGACGGGUGAGUAACACGUGGGAACGUGCCUUUAGGUUCGGAAUAACUCAGGGAAACUUGUGCUAAUACCGAAUGUGCCCUUCGGGGGAAAGAUCUAUCGCCUUUAGAGCGGCCCGCGUCUGAUUAGCUAGUUGGUUGAGGUAAUGGCUCACCAGGGCGACGAUCAGUAGCUGGUCUGAGAGGAUGAUCAGCCACAUUGGGACUGAGACACGGCCCAAACUCCUACGGGAGGCAGCAGUGGGGAAUCUUGCGCAAUGGGCGAAAGCCUGACGCAGCCAUGCCGCGUGAAUGAUGAAGGUCUUAGGAUUGUAAAAUUCUUUCACCGGGGACGAUAAUGACGGUACCCGGAGAAGAAGCCCCGGCUAACUUCGUG